UGAGAGUGAAGUGCUCAAUUGGGGUGAUUUAGUAAGUUAAGAUUAGCCUGAUUAUUCAAGACCUUGAAAGUGAGGAGAAGGAUUUGAAUGUGAGAGACCUCAGGUGUUGUACCUGGAAGGGGAAUGAUUACUGGAGGGGUUACAGCUCACAAUGAUCUCAAUACCACAGGUACCACUUUGGACUUUCCACAUCUUUCCACAGCUUUGUAGGUAUCUAUAUUUGGAUGAUUCCUAAUCAAAAAGGGGGAAAUAAAGAACCACUAUGCAAACUAAAGAAAGCACAAACUUCCUGUUAAUUGGCUUCUACAUAUUAACAGUAAUUUUCAGAACUCGUAAUCUUUGCAAGUGCCCUAAGUCAGUCAUUUCAACACAAAGAGCACAGAAACCGUAUUACAGGAGGACUUUGGUUAAAACUAAUUUGUCAGUUUCCUGUAAAAAAAAAAAAAAAAACACACCAAAGAAACAAACUGUUUCAACAGAUUUGUGAUAAAAUCAAGAGAGCAGAUGAAGCUGACUGUGCAAAUGUGCUCCACUGACUCGUGCCUCUAUGACUUGUGUAUUGUACGUGACUCCAUUCACAUGAGAGCAGAGGAAAAUUUACCUCCACUUUUUUAGACUUCAGGAGGCGAUUACAGCUUCAGCUCCCAGUGUUCCCAGUUGUCUCUCUGUACCCCUAAAUUUCCCUAAAUGUUUUUUUUCUCCCUCUCAACUCUUACUAUUUACUCCUCAUCCUCUCCCGCGCCGAUGCAGGAGUGGGAGGUGUUGCUAGGCGACAGAUUCGCUCCUUCUUUUCAAGAAAAAGAGUGCAGACCUUGACUCUCUGGGUGUAAAAAUAAACAGAAAAAGAAAAGACGGACUUAGAGAGAAAAGGACAAGUAUCAUUCACCUCUGGCAUGAGAGCCACACUCUUUGUUUACCGUGAAAAUAUUUUCCAUACAACCCCCCCCCCCCCCCUCCCCGGAAGCUCCUCAUCUACAUCCUGAAGUGGUCCAAAAAUAACCCACUUAUUUAUAGCUGCAUUUACAUCUGAGAUAAAAGCAAGGCAUCUCUCAC
This is a long non-coding RNA of Astatotilapia calliptera (eastern happy), 1053 nucleotides long. NCBI's taxonomy places the organism in Eukaryota, Metazoa, Chordata, Actinopteri, Cichliformes, Cichlidae. The record is from Ensembl.